Long non-coding RNA from Ictalurus punctatus (channel catfish), 4524 nucleotides. The record is from Ensembl. Lineage: Eukaryota; Metazoa; Chordata; Actinopteri; Siluriformes; Ictaluridae.
CACCAUAGUAUUAGUGUCAUGUCACAGCCAAUGCCAGAGAGAAUAUAUAAUUAAUUGAUGCUUUUUGCUGAGAGGAACACUUGCUCUACAAGUCAGCACCAGACACAAAGAGAAAGAGGAGGAAGCAGAGAAUGAGCAGAGGGAGAGAGAACGAGAGCUAAAACAGCAGAAAAUCCCAUUUUAGCUUUGAUCGCACUAAGCUCAGCCACUUGUCUCCUCUCUCUCCCUAUUUUAACAGAAUAGAAAGGAAGAGUGAGUGGCUGCAAGCAGAUAUACCAAUGUUUUAUUGAGACCAGGGAUAAAAACGGUGACAUCCAUCUCCGGUUGUGCCUGGAAUUUUUGCUCAAUUGUAUUCUUGUCUUUAGUCAAAGGGUUUUGAGGUCUCUAAGAUGCACUGGAUUUAUUUUUUGAUAUGCAGUAGGUGGAAGCAUGCUUAUAUUUGGGAUGUUGGUAGCAUCCCUCUCCUAUCUCCUAGAUUGAAGAUUUUGUUGAAUGCGCUCACAAAUUCCAAACUGAUCUGAGCUACUGAUGUGUUUGGAUGUCUUUUGAAGUCAACUCUGAGGCAAACCCUAAAUUCUUUUCAGGUGCCACUCUUUGUCUCAACAUAUUGGGUGUUGCUUGCAUUGUAAAGGAAAUUAAGUUCACAUGGGGCUAUGAAGAAAAUCUGGUCCAAACAAAGAUUCCAGAGAGCUGGGCACACUAACUGGAUGUUUGGAAGACUUGCUCAUGUUUUUCGCUUGUGCAGGAAGCAAAGCAAUGAAGCAGACAACACAGAUGAUGAGAAUGGAGAAACCCAGGUCUCCAUGGAAACAAAAGAAAGGUCUAGGGCCCCACAGGCUCAAGCAAUUAGGAGUCAGUUUUCAGGUGGUGCAAAGACAAUGAUUGCUCGUAAUUGCCCCAUAGUGGAGAGAGAGAUUUUGGCUCUGGGUUCAAGAGCCCCAAGCCUACAAGGCCCCUUCCAGUCUGGCAGGAAAGCAAAUGCUGGGUGUGUUCAGAGCCCCCCAGUCAGACAUCUGGGUGUGGAAGCUCUUGUGCGGGCCUCUCAGAUCAGUGUGUACUACCCAGCAGUGGAGUCUGAGGAAAGUAUGUCAUUAGCCAGUGACUACUAUGGCAGCGUGUUCAGCCUCUAUCGACAAAGGACAUUUUCUGUAUAUAGUGCCCAGGAGUAAAUACGAGUUCUUGUGAUAUAAGAACACAAUUUUUUGUGGUUUAAAUGGGCAUAAACUAAAUUUAUGAAAACAUUUUCAUCUUUUCAGCUUUACUAUCCAUUCUUAUUUAUCAGUUUUCCCCUUAUAUUAAGUUUUCCCUUCUUCUUAACCUCUUUCCUUUGACUCCACUUGGUUUUGUUAAUCAUUUUUAGCAGUUUUGUGGUAACAUGCAUCAAUGAUUAUCAGUAUCAGUGGUUACUUUUUGCAUGCCUUUCUGCAUCACUUUCUCCAGAAACACAAGUUUAAUAUGUCAAAACCCUUAUCUUUCACUUAAAGACUGAAAUGCAGUACUUCAGUGUUCACUCUUUUAUUGUCAAAACAUUACAUUUUCCUCAAUUUCAGUGAAAAAGCAUCCUAUUAUUCUGAAGAUUCUGAAGGUUCAAGUAAAGUGAUUAAGAACAAUGUGGCAUUCAAAGGGUCUAUCUUUAAGGAGAGAGCCUCCUCACUGGAGGAUCGUCCCAGUUAUGCUCAUAACAAAUAUGCUCAGAAGAGCUUCAGUGGAUCAAGAAACAUCUUUCACUACAAAGCAUCUUGCUGAACCAGAGCAGACCAAUGCACCCAGAAAGACCAAUGCCCAAAAGGGCAUCUCAAAAGUCCUCUGUUCACCAAGAAGUGAUUUGAGCACUUCAAAGCCUCCAAGUCAUCAUUCUACUUCCACAUUCCCAAAGUCAUUUAAGGGAAGAGAAAAAAAAGCACUCCCCAUCAUCCCUACCAAACUGAUCCCUAUCAUUGUAACAGAAGAUAAGCCAAACAAAUAAAGCAGAAAAAAAGAAAGAAGUAAUUUGGGGCAAUCAAUGUCUCAGAGCAAGAGGACUCCUCUGAUGAUUCCUCCAUAUGUGCAGAAGAGGACAAAAGAGUGGGCCCAAUAUGAACUUCCCCUGGCUCUGAGGUGACAAUGGAGUGCAUCAUUGAAGAAAAACCUUUCUCAAGGCAAGACUGCUUAGCUCCCUCUUUAGCCCAUUUAACAUUGUAAAUGACCAAAAGCCCUAGAAGAAAUGCUUUCUGUCACAGAAACUUAGUUACUUCUGGUAAUACUUAAUGGUAAAAUUGCCUGUCUGCAUCGUAUCACCUCAUGCUUUCUUCCAAUGUGUCACAGACUUUAAAUCAGAGCCAAUACAAUAUCACAUUUUUAGGUUGCUAAUUAGGAAUUCAAUUGUUAAUUAAGAAUUUUUCCUUUCUGAAGUCUACCACAGCCCGUUUAAAACACAGACCUUGAUAGUGCCAUUUAACCUCCCCACUGGUUUGAUUGAUAAAAAUGAUCUCUUUCCUAAUUGUUUUUCUUAUAUUUGAUCUCUUUUGCUCAAUGUUUCAACAGCAUGGAAUUUUAUUGACUAAGUAGCCAAAUAUAAUAAAAACAAUAAAACAAAGUUAGUCGUAGUACUAAUAACAUCAAAUGUUAUGUAUAUGCACACAAUAUCAGGACCCAGAUAGAGACAUGCAUGUUCCUCUCUGGUAAAGCUGCAGCUGAUUCUCUGAGGGUUUCUGCUAUGCUACACAGUGUAUUUAUAAUGUCUCUUGUUCCUUUAAGUAAUUGCAGCCUGUUUUCAUUUCCAACUACAUGAUAAAUGUGUCAUAAUAGUCAGGAAACAUUUUGAGUGAACUUAUAGAUUUAUAGAUUAGUGAAAUUGCAUAUUUUACAGUAUAAGUAAAAUUUAUACUGUAUAUGGUGUAUUAUAUUUCCAGUUCUUAGUCUACAAAUCUGUUGAAGUAUAUUACUAAUGUAUCUAAAGUGAUCUAAAUUACUAAUGUAUUUACAGUGAAAUAUAAUAAAAUCAUUCAUUGUUGUAUUAACUAUGAAAAAUGGUCAGUGAAGAAUUUCUGGAAUUUUCCAUGUAUAUACAGUGCACGCAUACAGUGGCCUUAAUAGUGCCUCCUUCAGUAUAAGAGGAACUGUUUUGUUUGGGUCAGAGAGCAAAGCUUUACUCAAUCUGUGGUUACUUAGUGCUCUCUCUCUCACCACCAAUUGCUCAUAUUCAUCACCCAUGACCUUCACGAAUAUCUCUACUUUAUUUCCUAGUCCUGAUAACAUCCAUCUUAAUUUAAAGGGGAAACUUUUAAACACAGUGGCAGUGUAGGCCACAGUUAUGGUGUUGAAAGGGAUAAAUAAGCAUACUGUAGUCUAUCUACAGUCCUCUCCAAAACUAUUGGAAUGGCAAGGCCAAUUCAUUGGUUUGUGCUAAUCACCAAAGACGAUGAGAGUUUAGGAUUUCAGCUUUUAAUUUUUGGUAUUUACAUAGAUGUGUUGAACAAUAUAAAACAUAGAAGCUUUGGUAUCAGACCAACCAACUUUUAGGUUAGCGAAAGUAUUCCAAGAUUUUCCCUGAUUGGAAAAAGAAUUUUGAUGCUUAUUACUCAGUAAGCACAGUAUGCAUGAGUGGUUUGCAUACUGUAUUAUGGCCUCUAUAUUUCUGCUCUUGAGGUCUUCUUCGAACGGUGUAUUGUGAUAGGCCUACCUUUACCAAACGUUGGCACCCAUCCACCUAGGUCACUGUGCCCCCUCACCUCUGGUAAGCACCCCGCCCAACUCCCCGAACAUGAUUUCAGUCAGUCAGCACCACGCCACUGUGCCCUCUUACUUCUUGAAAUAUUAAUAAUUGUCAUCAAUUAUUUUUUUAAACAAUUUUGUAAACAAAUUUUGUUUUACUAUGAAUACUAUGAAUGAAGAGUAGAAGUUGAUUUAAAAAAUACUUAACAUAAUGAUGUACAGUCAUAAUCAGCCAAUUAUAGCUGCUAUUAAAACAGUGAGGUAAAUAAUGGUUGAGCGCAGUCGAGAGAGUAAACUUUGCAAAGCUGAUGUUGUCUAAAACAUUUAACUACUUUUCUGUGCUCAAGAAUGUUUUAUGGACAACAGGGGAGCAAUGAACUACACUCGUAAUUCUCAGCUCUUGCAUCUUGCAUUUGAGCGGGAUGUGAGAAAGAAAUUUCGCACCGAAUGGAAAGACCUCGUCGCCUGCAGGUUUUCUAAAUGUAAGAUGUCUUUUACUAGCAUAAAGCCAACUUUAUGCCAGUAGGUUUAAAAACUUUUUAGAGUUUUGAUAUUUAUUAAAAUAAACCAUGAAAUCAUAUGUCAAAUUUAACAUGUAUUUCACUACUGAAUGGGCCCAUACUUAAAAUAUACUGUAAUUUAAAUCUCAAUAGCAUUUGAAGGGAAUGACUUACAGUCACAAACCCAAGUGUACAGUGGUCAUCUAGGUGUUAGGUAUGACGCACACCUUUUAGAUUUUUGAUAUUUAACAAAAUAAACUAUUAAAUCAUAUGUAAAUUUGAUAUGAACUAUAUCAAGGAUAGCCUUUACACACACACACACACACACACA